CUGCUUUCCUAAACAGUCACGUUGCACGGGCAAAAGCCAACCCUCUUUAUCUAGUUGAUGUCAGUGUUACUCAAAGUCUCAGUGUUUCUGAGAGGAGAUGUUCUAGGAGGCCUGGAGCAUGGACGAAAAGAUGGCCCCCUAGAAGAUGGUCUUCACAUUUGGCAGGAAAGGCAAAUUUAAAGCUCUCUUGAUCCAUAAACGAGUCUCUAAAAACAAGUGAGGCUUUGGAAUAACAGCCACCAGAUUUGGGGAGUCAACGGGCAUCCGGCAUCUUGAAUCAGUGUCUUUCUGAGGCAAAAGGAAAAUAACGCACCUACCGUAUCUUGAAAUGAAAGCAGAACAUCGUUUGCUGCAAAGCUAUAGCUUAAUGUUUUCAGUGCAACAUGGAUCCCUUUUCUCAACCUUCAUUCAGGAUGUCCUGACUACAACUCCCUCUUCAAAGCUAAAUGGCAAUGACAGCAGAGUCCAAAUGGAUGAUUAAUGCCUAAACCCUAAACUUGCCUUGGAUCAUACGACUGUUUCAGUGGAGGAGGAGACCGGGGGUGACACUAAGCAACAACUGAAAAAAUUUUAAGCUGCUGGCAACAAAUUGGGGCUCACAUGACCAGGCUUGCUCCCUGACAUCCCGUCCCGCUUAGUGCCUGGGAGACUUUGUCAUGGACAGCAGACGCGUCCCCUCAGACUCCAAGUUCACUUUCCUGUGUUGCUAAGCCUUCAUCUUAACGGCGGUCACUUUCCACAUAAAACUGAACGAGUGUC
Herpailurus yagouaroundi (jaguarundi) is the source of this 759-nucleotide long non-coding RNA. RefSeq lists it as uncharacterized. The record is from RefSeq and is a predicted model, not a curated record. NCBI's taxonomy places the organism in Eukaryota, Metazoa, Chordata, Mammalia, Carnivora, Felidae. The transcript is spliced from 2 exons.